RNAcentral lists this ribosomal RNA (1125 nucleotides) under Calanus glacialis. RNAcentral's name for it is "16S ribosomal RNA". The stretch from base 752 to 1077 matches the Rfam family "Archaeal large subunit ribosomal RNA", at positions 2150 to 2716 of the family's 2987-position model. The record is from RNAcentral. Lineage: Eukaryota; Metazoa; Arthropoda; Copepoda; Calanoida; Calanidae.
AAAGUUUAAGUUAAGCCUGAAUAAAAAGAUUUUAGUGUGUUUUGAUAGGCUCUAUUUUAAAGUUUCGUUUUUUUAUUUAUUAUUUUAAUAAGACUGGGAAAAUUUUACCUUUUGCAUCAUGUAUAAAUAAAUUUUUAUCGGAGGUCAAAAAUUACGAACUAUUAAGAAUAAUCGCCAUUAGGUUUAAAUUGUGGUAACACUUUAAUAAAAAUAGCGAUUGGAAUGAUAUGUUAACAUUUAAUAGAUUCUUAUUAAAUUUUAUUUGAAUAAUUCUAACUUAUAGAAAUAUAAAAUGUGGGAGGAGAUAAGUCCUUCUAUUAGAAUUAAAAUAGAAUAUUUAUAGUCCUAAGUAUAAAUAUUAAUGUUAGUUUGAAUUUAUAAAAAUUCUUUAAGCUCAAGUAUUUAAUUUUUAUCUUAAUACAAUUUCAAGGGAGUUAAAAAAACCAACCUAAAAAAUAUAUUUUUAUUAGUAGUAAACGUGUAAAAAGAAAAAUAAAUAAUGAUCUAUUAGCCUUAUCAAUAUUAAAACCAGGGAAAAAUUACUCGCCCAAAUAUAUUUAGCCUGUUUAUCAAAAACAUCGUAAAUAAUAUUUAUAAUACCUGCUCAGUGAAUAUUUAAACAGCCGCGUUAGUGUUAAGGUAGCAUAGUAAUUAGUUUCUUAAUUGGGAAAUGGAAUGAAUGGUUUCACUAAAAUAUGAUAUUUAUUCUAAUUUGCGAAAUUUUAAUCUGAGUGAAAAUACUCAGAAGAUAUAUUUAGACGAGAAGACCCUAUGAAGCUGGUAGACUUCCAAUGUAAUUAUACGAUAGUUCAUGAGUUUAUUUUUUGGGGUAAAAUUUAAUAAUAGUAUUAAUAUUGGCUUACUAAAUAAUAUCCUCUUGGAAUUAUGAAAAAGCUCCUCUAGGGAUAACAGCAUUAUGCUUAAAAGAGUUCUUAUCAGAAUAAGCGUUUGUGACCUCGAUGUUGAAUUAAAUACUCUUAUAUGUGCAGGAGCUUAUAAGAGAUGGUCUGUUCGACCAACUACAUUUACAUGAUUUGAGUUAAAAUCGACGCAAGUCAGAUUGGUUUCUAUCUAAUAUAUAAAUUUUUAUUACUUAGUACGAAAGGAAUAGCCAUAAUUUUAAUU